This 500-nucleotide ribosomal RNA is filed under the name uncultured bacterium. Its description in RNAcentral is "partial 16S ribosomal RNA". It matches the Rfam family "Bacterial small subunit ribosomal RNA", at positions 29 to 523 of the family's 1533-position model. The record is from RNAcentral.
AUUGAACGCUGGCGGCGUGCUUAACACAUGCAAGUCGAUCGGUAACGCGGGGGCAACCCUGGCGACGAGAGGCGGACGGGUGAGGAACGCUUGGGAAUCUGCCUAUCAGCGGGGGACAACACGGGGAAACUCGUGCUAAUACCGCAUACGCUCUACGGAGGAAAGCCGGGGACCGCAAGGCCUGGCACUGAUAGAUGAGCCCAGGCCGGAUUAGCUAGUUGGCGGGGUAACGGCCCAACAAGGCGACGAUCCGUAGCUGGUCUGAGAGGACGAUCAGCCACACUGGGACUGAGACACGGCCCAGACUCCUACGGGAGGCAGCAGUGGGGAAUAUUGGACAAUGGGGGAAACCCUGAUCCAGCGACGCCGCGUGGGUGAAGAAGGCCUGCGGGUUGUAAAGCCCUUUCGGUAGGGACGAAAGCUCUCGACCUAACACGUCGGGAGGUUGACUUAACCUACAAAAGAAGCACCGGCUAACUCUGUGCCAGCCGCCGCAGUAA